RNAcentral lists this unclassified non-coding RNA (189 nucleotides) under soil metagenome. RNAcentral's name for it is "partial internal transcribed spacer 1". The record is from RNAcentral.
CACAAUAAAAUAUGAAGGCUGUACGCGGCUGUGCUCUCGGGCCAGUUUUGCGGAGGCUGAAUUAUUUAUUACCCUUGUCUUUUGCGCACUUGUUGUUUCCUGGGCGGGUUCGCCCGCCACCAGGACCACAUCAUAAACCUUUUUUAUGCAGUUGCAAUCAGCGUCAGUAUUACAAAUGUAAAUCAUUUA